This 496-nucleotide ribosomal RNA is filed under the name uncultured bacterium. RNAcentral describes it as "partial 16S ribosomal RNA". It matches the Rfam family "Bacterial small subunit ribosomal RNA", at positions 28 to 506 of the family's 1533-position model. The record is from RNAcentral.
GACGAACGCUGGCGGCGUGCCUAAUACAUGCGAGUCGAGCGCUGAAGGUUGGUACUUGUACCGACUGGAUGAGCAGCGCACGGGUGAGUAACGCGUGGGGCAUCUGCCUUUGAGCGGGGGACAACCUUUGGAAACGAAUGCUAAUACCGCAUAAAAACUUUAAACACAAGUUUUAAGUUUGAAAUAUGCAAUUGCGUCACUCACUGAUGAUCUCGCGUUGUAUUAGCUAGUUGGUGAGGUAAAGGCUCAUCAAGGCGAGGAUACAUAGCCGACCUGAGAGGGGGAUCGGCCACAUUGGGAGUGAGACACGGCCCAAACUCCUACGGGAGGCAGCAGUAGGGAAUCGUCGGCAAUGGGCGAGAGUAUGACCGAGCAGGGCCGCGUGAGUGAAGAAGGUGUUCGGAUCGUAAAACUCUGUUGGUGGAGAAGAACGUGGGUGAGAGUGGAAAGCGCAUCAAGUGACGGUAACUACACAGAAAGGGACGGCUAACUACGU